This is an RNA transcript of Salvia splendens (bonfire salvia), 2589 nucleotides long. RefSeq lists it as uncharacterized. The record is from RefSeq and is a predicted model, not a curated record. The transcript is spliced from 7 exons. Lineage: Eukaryota; Viridiplantae; Streptophyta; Magnoliopsida; Lamiales; Lamiaceae.
CACAUGCUUUAUUCUAUCCGGAUCUCAACUUAUUCUCCCAUGUCAAAUUGUUGCGUGCACCCAUUCCUCUCUUAUAGCUCAGCACGCAACAGUUAAGUGAAGAAUCAACGGCGGCGGCAACAACUGGAAUAUGGGCGCUUUUUACAAAUCUUGCGUUGAUGUCUGCCUUUCUUGGCUUCGCUAUUGCUCAGGCCAUUAAAUUCUUUACUGUCUGGUACAAGGAACACCGGUGGGAUCCGAAGCAACUUAUCGGAUCUGGUGGCAUGCCAUCAUCACAUUCAGCUACAGUAACUGUUCUUGCGGUUGGUGUUGGUCUACAACAGGGUUUUGGAGGACCGCAUUUUGCAACUGCGUUAGUCUUGGCAUCCGUGGUGAUGUACGAUGCAAUUGGUGUGAGAUUACAUGCUGGACGUCAAGCAGAGAUUUGUAGUUUCUGAUGCAGUUUGUUUUAUGCACAUCUAGGUUUUAAAUCAGAUCUUAUGUGAACUUCCAGCCGAGCACCCUCUUGCUGAGAGCAUACCGCUACGUAAACUUCUUGGCCACACGCCUACUCAGGUUGCUGCUGGUGCGAUUCUGGGAUCGGUUACAGCAAUGCUUAUAAGUUUAAUCUGACGCAAGCAGGAUAAGACUUUGUUUAGAGUUACUAAAGUGGUAUCUGUCUUUUAUUUCUAUUUUUAAGAGAAAGAGUAGCUCAAAGGUACGUAUCUGAUGAAAAGAUAAAUAUCAAAAUUUGUUGUGACCACAGGACAAUUCCUCCUCCUUCAUUGUUUUUGUAAACGUAAAAUUUGCCUCCAGUAUUUUGAGCAUUUUUCUAAAAUGGUGCAUCAUGAAUCUAGUCUUGGUAUAGCAGAGAAAAGUUUCUUGAGAUCCAAAACAGGAUUGUUCUAGAUCUCAGAAUUUGUGCGCCGACCGGCCUCAGUAUAAUAGGCCCUCAAUCUGUCACCUCUGGUAAACUAGGACAAGGUUUAGCAUCUAUGGCAACUAUGAAGUUUUUCCAAGGUGAAAGCGCCCUUACGUUGCUAUGUGUUGCCACAUUAUGCAUACUUUUAAGUGCAAGUUGAAAUUCCUGAGCCACCUUGAAUGCAGGCUGCGCUAGUUGAUAGGAUUGUUUGAUAUAACAAAGUACAGGUGCCCUGACAAAGUCAUAAGGCUGAUGAGUUUUUUAGAGAACGUGACAAUGUCAUAUGCGGCAUCGAGUAACAACACCAAUAUUGUAGUUGUAGUAUACAAAAACAGCAUGCCUGGCCUUUCAUUCAUCAAGAUCAGUAAAAUAUAUAGUGAUAAGUUUUUGCAAAUCAUGUUCCAGUUCAUAAAAAUUCCCGAUAACCAAUUCAUGGAACAACAAUUAAAGAGACACCUUGAUGUGAAUACGGAUCUUCGAGUUCGAGUGCAACACCAUAUCCGAUGACCAUGGUGGAGAUUUAAGCCCCCUUGGUGGGUUACAGUGUCCAUCUACUUUCUUCAUUUUGAACCCUUUUUCAUAUUGGAUUUCGAUAAUAUCCAUAUAUGUGAACUUAGUAUAUAAUUAAGACCUUAUUAUGUAUAUAUGUAUGGCGUGUUCACUUGCACGACAAUAUUCUUUUGAUAUCAUCAGAAAUUGAACUGGUUAGGUCAUACUAUGUAUCAAAUCGAACAAGGUGCAUUAUCAUGUCUAGGAAUGCGGACUGUAGAAGAAUCUGGGCACUGAUUACAACUGUAGAUAUAUCAUAGCUUGGGUGCAUUUUGGAGUUGAUUAGUAAUAGUAGGAAUGAACAGUCGUUUUCACAAGUACCACUCUUUUCUACUCCCUAAUGAUAGCAGCAUUCUCCGAGACUCGUGCCUUUUUUCCUCAACCGGCCAUUACUCUCAAUUUUUAAUUUUCAGAGAGAGGAAAACAGGAAGAAAGAAUAUUUGGUAACAAAAUGAGUUUGCACAGAGUAUUCAUAAAGAUGCAAUACAUUGAGUUUAUUAUGUAGAUGCACAAAGAGUAUUUGGUGACAAAAUGGUGAGUGAAGGGAAUAGCAAAGGAGGAAUAUAGCUUGAUUGUUGAAACUGAAUAGAUAGCCUUGUUUUAUCUCCUAUUCUAAUGGAUGCAGAUAUAAACACCGGACCACAAAGUCAGAUGGAAAUGCUGUUGGGAAUACCACGACCAGUAACGCCAGGAGGUGAAGUGGGUAGAAGCAAUUCAUAUGGAGGAACACCAGCACCAGUUCUGUUUGUACUCUUCAUCUGGAGAAUGUGUUGAUAGGCUGUCUUGGACAGCCAUAACCUUUGUUGCCUGGAGUUGCGUGGGCAAUGAAGUCAAGAAAGUGUACUCAGGGUUCUGAAGGAACUUUUCGUACUCAGAGUCACCCGGUUGAGGGAUUAGUUUCCUCAUGAGAGUUGGACGGUUAGGUACGUAUCCCCCAAACGGGUAUUGUCCGAAGUUGAUAGCUGCAUGCUGACCAGAAGCAGUCCAAAUCAUGGUUGCCUGAAGCUCCACAUCAGAUGAGAUGGAAUUUGGCUCAGAAUAAUAGUGCUCAACGUAGGAUUCUACCAAUUCCUGUAUGGCAGCCCAUAUGAGAAGCCCAUCUGCAGCGUAAGGAUAAUCUUCGAUCACAAGUUUGAUCC